Molecule: ribosomal RNA, 253 nt
Filed under: uncultured bacterium
Lineage: Bacteria
Description: partial 16S ribosomal RNA
Rfam family: Bacterial small subunit ribosomal RNA
Source: RNAcentral
UACAGAGGGUGCAAGCGUUGUUCGGAAUUAUUGGGCGUAAAGGGCGCGUAGGCGGUGCCACAAGUCACCUGUGAAAUCCCUCGGCUUAACCGGGGAACUGCGUCCGAUACUGGAUGACUUGAGUUCGGGAGAGGGAUGCGGAAUUCCAGGUGUAGCGGUGAAAUGCGUAGAUAUCUGGAGGAACACCGGUGGCGAAGGCGGCAUCCUGGACCGACACUGACGCUGAGGAGCGAAAGCCAGGGGAGCAAACGGG